AGAGUUUGAUCAUGGCUCAGGAUGAACGCUAGCGGGAGGCCUAACACAUGCAAGCUGAGCGGUAGAGAUCUUUCGGGAUCUUGAGAGCGGCGUACGGGUGCGGAACACGUGUGCAACCUGCCUUUAUCAGGGGGAUAGCCUUUCGAAAGGAAGAUUAAUACCCCAUAAUAUUUUGAGUGGCAUCACUUGAAAUUGAAAACUGAGGUGGAUAAAGAUGGGCACGCGCAAGAUUAGAUAGUUGGUGAGGUAACGGCUCACCAAGUCGAUGAUCUUUAGGGGGCCUGAGAGGGUGAUCCCCCACACUGGUACUGAGACACGGACCAGACUCCUACGGGAGGCAGCAGUGAGGAAUAUUGGACAAUGGGUUAGCGCCUGAUCCAGCCAUCCCGCGUGAAGGACGACGGCCCUAUGGGUUGUAAACUUCUUUUGUACAGGGAUAAACCUACCCUCGUGAGGGUAGCUGAAGGUACUGUACGAAUAAGCACCGGCUAACUCCGUGCCAGCAGCCGCGGUAAUAC
This 518-nucleotide ribosomal RNA is filed under the name uncultured bacterium. RNAcentral describes it as "bacterial SSU rRNA". It matches the Rfam family "Bacterial small subunit ribosomal RNA", at positions 8 to 526 of the family's 1533-position model. The record is from RNAcentral.